GCUUGUCUCAAAGAUUAAGCCAUGCAUGUCUAAGUAUAAAUAAUUUUUUACUGUGAAACUGCGAAUGGCUCAUUAUAUCAGUUAUAGUCUACUCGACAGUACCUUACUACUUGGAUAACCGUAGUAAUUCUAGAGCUAAUACAUGCAUCAACUCCCAACUGCUUGUCGGACGGGAUGUAUUUAUUAGAUUGAAACCAAUGCGGGGCAACCCGGAAUAUGGUGAAUCAUAAUAACUGUCGUAUCGAGCAAUCGAAGCGCCAUACAAGUUUCUGCCCUAUCAGCUUUGGAUGGUAGGGUAUUGGCCUACCAUGGCUUUAACGGGUAACGGAGAAUUAGGGUUCGAUUCCGGAGAGGGAGCCUGAGAAACGGCUACCACAUCCAAGGAAGGCAGCAGG
RNAcentral lists this ribosomal RNA (395 nucleotides) under Chrysocapsa paludosa. RNAcentral describes it as "partial small subunit ribosomal RNA". It matches the Rfam family "Eukaryotic small subunit ribosomal RNA", at positions 30 to 432 of the family's 1831-position model. The record is from RNAcentral. Lineage: Eukaryota; Chrysophyceae; Chromulinales; Chrysocapsaceae.